CGAAAAAAACCCGCACCUGAAAAAAAUCUACGAAAAUAAACCUACGCCCCGACCGCAGCCCGCGGGUCGCCCGCUCCCUCGCGCCCCUGUUGCUCCCUCCUCGAUCCCGAUCUGGAUCGAGGGGACGAGGAGCUCCUGCCUCCCCGACGGCCGGCCUCCUCCUCGCCCUGCCGCUCCGUCUAGCGCCGCCACAGCCUCUAGAGCCAGGGAAGCCAUGGCCUAAGAUCGGCCUCGAGGUCCCCGCCGCCGUCUCCUGCAGCUUAUGCCCCGCCGCCUCACCGCCCGAGCUCGCCGUCACACCAACCUCGGCGUCGCGCCGCCGCUGGCUCUGGUCGCCUCCACCUCCGCUCCAGGCAACCCUCGGUCGCCGGCUCGCUGGAGCACGAUGGCAGACGAUGGAUGGCCUGGUUGUGUGCGAAGGAUGCAGUUCUCACGCGCAAGCUAGGGUUGGAGCCGCCAGCUCUUCAUCCUGCCCGCCGGCGGCGAGUCUUCCUGUCCCGCACUUCCGCCUCCCCAUUAUCACAGGUUCAUCUGGUCCUUUACUCCUCACAUAAUAACUGUGAAACUUAAUGAGGAAGGUUAUCCUUUCUUCAAGGACUGGAAGUUUCCUGGUAAGUGUUCCUUUUUCUGAAAAACUCUGUGUUUGUUCGCUGUAAUAUUUUGUUUACAUAAGGUUUCUCUUUCCUUUUGUGGGCAUAAUGGGCGACACAAUAAUAUUCAGAAAAUUGUUGUUUUAGGGAAACUGCUAACUCCAUAUGUCAGACCCAUAUCAUUGUUGAGCAUGCAUAGUGUUCCUAUGUCAUUUCUAUAAUGUAUUUGUUUCCUUUUAUAUCACAGUAGUCUUCAUUUUGGCCAUGUACCUUCAAACUGAACCAAAAAUGGUUUGUCUGAUGACAUGUUUGAGGAGAUUCUUGAUAUGAAACAGUAGAUAUGAGGGUGACCGGUUUUUUUUUUUGUGCAAGUUUUGUCUGUGGAAUCUUUUUGCAGUUGAUAAGACAUGGGCUGGACUUACUUCCGAUGUGCAAUAUUUUCGGUAAAGUGAUUCAAGGUAUGUUUGAUUGUUUACUUAGGGUGGUUACUGAACCACUUUGGGAACCAAGAAAGACAUUAUGUAUGUAAAAAUAACAUAGGCCUAAAGUUCAUUUUUACAUUGAAAAUCUAUAUAUGAAAUUUUCUGUAACAAUCGAAAAUUCAUUCAUUCACUUUGUGAGAUGUCACACAACACCAUGCUCCAAAUUGUUGUCUAUCUGAUCCUUGCGGCAGAAUCAUAGACUCGUGCAUAAUUGCAUAUAUAUUGUGACUGGGCACCAGUACAUUUGCAACAUUCUAAAGUUAGUUUGUUGUGAUUUUUUACCAAAACUUUUCUUCUAUAAUUUAUAUGCAUGCUCUGAAGAAUGUGGAGACGUCAGGGACAAGGCUCACAACCCCUGCCUCCUUGUUACCAUCUGCGAGUUUUCCGGUGUUGAGCCUCUCAUUUAUUAUGUACUUAUUAUCAACACCUUUAAGUCGAUAAUAUGAAAUUGUUGCAUGUUCAUUGCUGAGGUGUCAAUACUCCUACAUUAUCCACCUCUCAGUAUAUAUAGUGUACUGAUGGCCUGCAUUUUGGUUCAGCCUUACACAAGUACAUGCCCUUCGGCAGCCUGGAGAGUCAUCUCUUUGUGAAACUGGGAAUUGGACGUGCGCUCUUCUACUUGGCUACUCGGACGUGCCCUCAGGGUACUCAGCUCAUGAGCCUCCCACUAUUCCUUGUGAAGCAGCAAAUGCAACAUACCUAAAGGGAAGCAUUUGCGCACUCACGUUUGGCAUGUUCCAUGCAGUAGACCUGUCGUCAUUGGUUGAGAUUUUGUUCAUUAGCAUAGGUUCAUGAAUGCCAAGUGCAUCCAAUCAACGUCAUCAAACUUGGGCUCUUGCACAUGUCACGCCCAAGAUGCGGCCCUAUCCUAAAGGAACUCGAAGGUCCCACCAAGGAUGGAAGCGCAUCUUGAAGACGCUUUUGCAAGGUGGAUAUCAUUACAUCAACAUUACAUAAUAGAUGGGGAUACAUACAAGGCAUACAAAUGCCGCAAGAAUAUAUUAAUACAUCAUACACUAGGUCAACAUCCGACCACGGAUGAAACACAAACAGGAACUCAAACGACAUCCACCCUGCUAGCCCAGGCUGCCGACCUGGAACCUAUCCCCUGAUCGAAGAAGCAGAAGAAGAACUCCAAAACAAGUAAACAUCGCUCUCGCGUCAUGAUCAUCGCAAAACCUGUACCUGCAACUGUUGUGUAGUAAUCUGUUAUCAAGACUAGCAAAGCUUAAUGGGUAA
Molecule: non-coding RNA, 2311 nt
Organism: Triticum urartu
Lineage: Eukaryota; Viridiplantae; Streptophyta; Magnoliopsida; Poales; Poaceae
Source: RefSeq, a predicted model, not a curated record